UGUAAGCGUAUACCAAAGUUGUUGCAGUUAAAACGCUCGUAGUCGGAAUUUGGCAGUUCCGGAUGUGUGCACGUCGUGUGCGCACUUCGCGGGGAUUGCUUUUGUGGUCUUGCGUAGGAUGAGGCACUUUUAUUAGUGAACGUCCUCACGCAACCACUUUUUACUGUGAGAAAAUCAGAGUGCUCAAAGCAGGCAUCUGCCGUGAAUGUAUUAGCAUGGAAUAAUAGAAUAGGACUUGGUUCUAUUUUGUUGGUUUGUUGGGACUGAGUAAUGAUUAAGAGGGACAGUUGGGGGCACUUGUAUUUCGGUGCUAGAGGUGAAAUUCUUAGAUUACCGAAAGACAAACUGCUGCGAAAGCGUCUGCCAAGGAUGUUUUCAUUGA
This 382-nucleotide ribosomal RNA is filed under the name uncultured eukaryote. RNAcentral's name for it is "partial 18S ribosomal RNA". It matches the Rfam family "Eukaryotic small subunit ribosomal RNA", at positions 592 to 976 of the family's 1831-position model. The record is from RNAcentral.